This 383-nucleotide ribosomal RNA is filed under the name Stevenia sp. n. 3 AT-2015. Its description in RNAcentral is "partial 16S ribosomal RNA". The record is from RNAcentral. Lineage: Eukaryota; Metazoa; Arthropoda; Insecta; Diptera; Rhinophoridae. RNAcentral also lists the same sequence under 1 other name.
CGAAGGUAGCAUAAUCAGUAGUCUUUUAAUUGAAGGCUGGUAUGAAUGGUUGGACGAAAUAUUAACUGUUUCAAGAAAAUUUAUAAUAAAAUUUUAUUUUUUAGUAAAAAAGCUGAAAUUUAUUUAAAAGACGAGAAGACCCUAUAAAUCUUUAUAUAUUUAAUUUUUAUAAUAAAUUAGAAUAUUUUUAUUUUGAAUAUUAAAUAUAUUUUAUUGGGGUGAUAUUAAAAUUUAAUAAACUUUUAAUAAAAAAUUUCAUUAAUUUAUGAAUUAUUGAUCCAUUAAUAGUGAUUAAAAAUUUAAGUUACUUUAGGGAUAACAGCGUAAUUUUUUUGGAGAGUUCUUAUCGAUAAAAAAGAUUGCGACCUCGAUGUUUGGAUUAA